UUUGUUACUUCAAACCAAUCGGACUUCGGUCUGACAUCAAGUGAUAUUGAACAAUUUAGCUGAUCGCACGGUCUAAGAACCGGCGACAUAUCCUUCAAAUGUCUGCCUUAUCAACUUUCGAUGGUAGAUUAUGCGCCUACCAUGGUUGUAACGGGUAACGGAGAAUCAGGGUUUGAUUCCGGAGAGGGAGCCUGAGAAACGGCUACCACAUCCAAGGAAGGCAGCAGGCACGCAAAUUACCCACUCCCGGCACGGGGAGGUAGUGACGAAAAAUAACAAGCUGGUCUCAAUGAGUUCCAGCAUUGUAAUGGGAACAAUUUAAAUCUUUUAUCGAGGAUCUAUUGGAGGGCAAGUCUGGUGCCAGCAGCCGCGGUAAUUCCAGCUCCAAUAGCGUAUAUUAAAGUCGUUGCGGUUAAAAAGCUCGUAGUUGGAUCUAGGAUUAGGGCUACGGUCGUUCAGCUUGGACGUACUGUAUGCCCGACUCCUUUUCUCUAGUAUUCGAUUGUUGCUCUUAAAUGAGUGACUUUAGUUGCUGGAACUUUUACCUUGAAAAAAUUGAAGUGCUCAAAGCAGGUU
RNAcentral lists this ribosomal RNA (576 nucleotides) under uncultured eukaryote. RNAcentral describes it as "SSU rRNA". It matches the Rfam family "Eukaryotic small subunit ribosomal RNA", at positions 203 to 786 of the family's 1831-position model. The record is from RNAcentral.